GUGCCUUCGGGAACCGCGAGACAGGUNGCUGCAUGGCUGUCGUAGCUGUGUUGUGAAAUGUUGGGUUAAGUCCCGCAACGAGCGCAACCCUUAUCCUUUGUUGCCAGCGGUCCGGCCGGGAACUCAAAGAGAGACUGCCAGUGAUAAACUGGAGGAAGGUGGGGAUGACGUCAAGUCAUCAUGGACCCUUACGACCAGGGCGACACACGUGCUACAAUGGCGCAUACAAAGAGAAGCGAACCUCGCGAGAGCAAGCGGACCUCAUAAAGUGCGUCGUAGUCCGGAUUGGAGUCUGCAACUCGACUCCAUGAAGUCGGAAUCGCUAGUAAUCGUGGAUCAGAAUGCCACGGUGAAUACGUUCCCGGGCCUUGUACACACCGCCCGUCACACCAUGGGAGUGGGUUGCAAAAGAAGUAGGUAGCUUAACCUUCGGGAGGGCGCUUACCACUUUGUGAUUCAUGACUGGGGUGAAGUCGUAACAAGGUAACCGUAGGGGAACCUGCGGUUGGAUCACCUCCUUA
Molecule: ribosomal RNA, 521 nt
Filed under: Escherichia coli
Lineage: Bacteria; Pseudomonadati; Pseudomonadota; Gammaproteobacteria; Enterobacterales; Enterobacteriaceae
Description: bacterial SSU rRNA
Rfam family: Bacterial small subunit ribosomal RNA
Source: RNAcentral